RNAcentral lists this ribosomal RNA (464 nucleotides) under uncultured bacterium. RNAcentral's name for it is "partial 16S ribosomal RNA". It matches the Rfam family "Bacterial small subunit ribosomal RNA", at positions 28 to 507 of the family's 1533-position model. The record is from RNAcentral.
GACGAACGCUGGCGGCGUGCUUAACACAUGCAAGUCGAACGGUAAGGCCCCAGCUUGCUGGGGUACACGAGUGGCGAACGGGUGAGUAACACGUGGGUGACCUGCCCCGCACUUCGGGAUAAGCCUUGGAAACUGGGUAUAAUACAGGAUAGGACCGCACCGUGAGGGUGUGGUGGAAAGUUUUUCGGUGUGGGAUGGGCCCGCGGCCUAUAAGCUCGUUGGUGGGGUAAUGGCCUACCAAGGCGGCGACGGGUAGCCGGCCUGAGAGGGUGGACGGCCACAUUGGGACUGAGACACGGCCCAGACUCCUACGGGAGGCAGCAGUGGGGAAUAUUGCACAAUGGGCGGAAGCCUGAUGCAGCGACGCCGCGUGGGGGAUGACGGCCUUCGGGUUGUAAACUCCUUUCACCAUCGACGAAGGUUUUCUGACGGUAGAUGGAGAAGAAGCACCGGCUAACUACGUG